RNAcentral lists this ribosomal RNA (539 nucleotides) under uncultured marine eukaryote. RNAcentral describes it as "SSU rRNA". It matches the Rfam family "Eukaryotic small subunit ribosomal RNA", at positions 612 to 1148 of the family's 1831-position model. The record is from RNAcentral.
GUUGUGGUUAAAAAGCUCGUAGUUGGAUCUCGGCGGUCUGAGGGCGGUUCGCUUGAUUGAGUGCUACUGCUCUAUAGGCCGUGGUUUUGCCAGAGGUCUCGGGGUGCUCUUAACCGAGUGUCCUGCGAUGCUGGCAGGCUUACUUUGAAAAAAUUAGAGUGCUCAAAGCAGGCUUUUACGCCUGAAUAUUCGUGCAUGGAAUAAUAGAAUAGGAAGUCGUUUCUAUUUUGUUGGUUUUCGGAAAUCGACUUAAUGAUUAAUAGGGGCAGUCGGGGGCAUUUGUAUUCAAACGACAGAGGUGAAAUUCUUGGACCGUUUGAAGACAAACUACUGCGAAAGCAUUUGCCAAGAAUGUUUUCAUUAAUCAAGAACGAAAGUUAGAGGUUCGAAGGCGAUUAGAUACCGCCCUAGUUCUAACCAUAAACGAUGCCAGCUAGCGAUCUGCCGACGUUUUCUUUGUAGACUCGGCAGGAAGCUUCCGGGAAACCAAAGCAUUUGGGUUCCAGGGGGAAGUAUGGUUGCAAAGCUGAAAACUUAAA